This 820-nucleotide ribosomal RNA is filed under the name Anisakis simplex sensu lato. RNAcentral's name for it is "SSU rRNA". It matches the Rfam family "Eukaryotic small subunit ribosomal RNA", at positions 174 to 1002 of the family's 1831-position model. The record is from RNAcentral. Lineage: Eukaryota; Metazoa; Nematoda; Chromadorea; Rhabditida; Anisakidae.
CCAAAGCUCCGAUUUUUUGACGAGCGCAUCUAUUAGAUUAAAACCAAUCGGGUUUCGGCCCGUCAAUUGGUGACUCUGAAUAACUAUGGCUGAUCGCAUGGUCUUGAACCGGCGACGUGUCUAUCAAGUGUCUGCCUUAUCAACUGUCGAUGGUAGUUUAUGUGCCUACCAUGGUUGUAACGGGUAACGGAGAAUAAGGGUUCGACUCCGGAGAGGGAGCCUGAGAAACGGCUACCACAUCCAAGGAAGGCAGCAGGCGCGCAAAUUACCCACUCUCGGCAUGAGGAGGUAGUGACGAAAAAUAACGAGACCGUUCUCUCUGAGGCCGGUUAUCGGAAUGGGUACAAUUUAAACCCGUUAACGAGGAUCUAUGAGAGGGCAAGUCUGGUGCCAGCAGCCGCGGUAAUUCCAGCUCUCAAAGUGUAUAUCGUCAUUGCUGCGGUUAAAAAGCUCGUAGUUGGAUCUGCGCCUCAGGACUUGGUCCGCCCACUGGGCGAGAACUGGGCUCCUGGGCUAGUACUGCUGGUUUUCCCUACGUUGCCUUCAUCGGUCGCGUAGGGUGGCUAGCGAGUUUACUUUGAAAAAAUUAGAGUGCUUCACGCGGGCUUAUGUCUGAAUACUCGUGCAUGGAAUAAUAGAAUAGGAUCUCGGUUCUAUUUUGUUGGUUUUCUGAUCUGAGAUAAUGGUUAAGAGGGACGGACGGGGGCAUUCGUAUCGCUGCGUGAGAGGUGAAAUUCUUGGACCGUAGCGAGACGUCCGACUGCGAAAGCAUUUGCCAAGAAUGUCUUCAUUAAUCAAGAACGAAAGUCAGAGGUUCGAA